AGCUGGAUGCUUCCAGGCCUUGAGCAGUGGAAUAUGCUGACCCUGGCAAGACAAGCAGUGGUGGGGAGUGCAGCAAGGUCGCAUGCCUCAUACGGGUCCCAUCUGAAGUCAUCAAGCAAAGGGCCCAAGUUUCUCCUUCCUCUGGUACCUUUCGGAUCCUCUCCCACACCUUGUAUCAUGAGGGUAUUCAAGGACUUUAUCGGGGAUAUA
Molecule: non-coding RNA, 210 nt
Organism: Tinamus guttatus (white-throated tinamou)
Lineage: Eukaryota; Metazoa; Chordata; Aves; Tinamiformes; Tinamidae
Source: RefSeq, a predicted model, not a curated record